RNAcentral lists this transfer RNA (64 nucleotides) under Pectobacterium carotovorum subsp. carotovorum. RNAcentral describes it as "tRNA-Ala". It matches the Rfam family "tRNA", at positions 5 to 66 of the family's 71-position model. Rfam says of the family: Transfer RNA (tRNA) molecules are approximately 80 nucleotides in length. Their secondary structure includes four short double-helical elements and three loops (D, anti-codon, and T loops). Further hydrogen bonds mediate the characteristic L-shaped molecular structure. tRNAs have two regions of fundamental functional importance: the anti-codon, which is responsible for specific mRNA codon recognition, and the 3' end, to which the tRNAs corresponding amino acid is attached (by aminoacyl-tRNA synthetases). tRNAs cope with the degeneracy of the genetic code in two manners: having more than one tRNA (with a specific anti-codon) for a particular amino acid; and 'wobble' base-pairing, i.e. permitting non-standard base-pairing at the 3rd anti-codon position. RNAcentral also lists the same sequence under 12 other names. The record is from RNAcentral. Lineage: Bacteria; Pseudomonadati; Pseudomonadota; Gammaproteobacteria; Enterobacterales; Pectobacteriaceae.
CUAUAGCUCAGCUGGGAGAGCGCUUGCAUGGCAUGCAAGAGGUCAGCGGUUCGAUCCCGCUUAG